CCUACGGGUGGCUGCAGUGAGGAAUAUUGGUCAAUGGGCGUAAGCCUGAACCAGCCAAGUCGCGUGAGGGAUGAAGGUUCUAUGGAUCGUAAACCUCUUUUAUAUGGGAAUAAAACAGGGUAUGCAUACCCUCUUGUAUGUACCAUAUGAAUAAGGAUCGGCUAACUCCGUGCCAGCAGCCGCGGUAAUACGGAGGAUCCGAGCGUUAUCCGGAUUUAUUGGGUUUAAAGGGAGCGUAGGUGGAUUGUUAAGUCAGUUGUGAAAGUUUGCGGCUCAACCGUAAAAUUGCAGUUGAAACUGGCAGUCUUGAGUACAGUAGAGGUGGGCGGAAUUCGUGGUGUAGCGGUGAAAUGCUUAGAUAUCACGAAGAACUCCGAUUGCGAAGGCAGCUCACUGGACUGCAACUGACACUGAUGCUCGAAAGUGUGGGUAUCAAACAGGAUUAGAUACCCUUGUAGUC
RNAcentral lists this ribosomal RNA (460 nucleotides) under uncultured bacterium. Its description in RNAcentral is "partial 16S ribosomal RNA". It matches the Rfam family "Bacterial small subunit ribosomal RNA", at positions 338 to 795 of the family's 1533-position model. The record is from RNAcentral.